UGUGCCCGAUUAUGGUGCAUGGAAUAUUGAAUAGGACCUCGGUUCUAUCUUGUUGGUUCUUCGGAACACGAGGUAAUGAUUAAUAGGGACAGACCGGGGCAUUAUUAUGCGACGUUAGAGGUGAAAUUCUUGGAUCGUCGCAAGACGGAUACUGCGAAAGCAUUUGCCAAGAAUGUUUUCGUUAAUCAAGAACGAAAGUUAGAGGUUCGAAGGCGAUCAGAUACCGCCCUAGUUCUAACCAUAAACGAUGCCAACCAGCGAUCCGUCGGUGUUACUUCGAAUGACCCGACGAGCAGCUUCCGGGAAACCAAAGUAUUUGGGUUCCGGGGGAAGUAUGGUUGCAAAGCCGAAACUUAAAGGAAUUGACGGAAGGGCACCACCAGGAGUGGAGCCUGCGGCUUAAUUUGACUCAACACGGGAAACCUCACCAGGCCCGGACACUUGGAGGAUUGACAGAUUGAGAGCUCUUUCUUGAUUCAGUGGGUGGUGGUGCAUGGCCGUUCUUAGUUGGUGGAGCGAUUUGUCUGGUUAAUUCCGAUAACGAACGAGACCCUAGCCUGCUAAAUAGGCAGCAGAUCCUCAUAUGUAGUGUCUGAAGUUCUUCUUAGAGGGACAGGUGGCGUUUAGCCACACUAGAUUGGGCAAUAACAGGUCUGUGAUGCCCUUAGAUGUUCUGGGCCGCACGCGCGCUACACCGAAGGAAUCAACGUGGUCACCUAGUCCGAGAGGACCGGGAAACCCGCGGAAACUCCUUCGUGAUAGGGAUUGGGGCUUGCAACUGCAACCCAUGAACGAGGAAUUCCCAGUAAGUGCGAGUCAUAAGCUCGCAUUGAUUACGUCCCUGCCCUUUGUACACACCGCCCGUCGCUACUACCGAUUGAAUGAUUUAGUGAGGACUUCGGAUCGGUCCCCGUCGGUUGUACCUCCCGGUCAAUGCGGUGCUUCCCCGUGAAGACAUCCAAACUUGUUCAUUUGGACGAAAUUCAGCAUGCG
RNAcentral lists this ribosomal RNA (993 nucleotides) under Argulus siamensis. RNAcentral describes it as "partial small subunit ribosomal RNA". It matches the Rfam family "Eukaryotic small subunit ribosomal RNA", at positions 790 to 1791 of the family's 1831-position model. The record is from RNAcentral. Lineage: Eukaryota; Metazoa; Arthropoda; Ichthyostraca; Arguloida; Argulidae. RNAcentral also lists the same sequence under 2 other names.